RNAcentral lists this ribosomal RNA (432 nucleotides) under Triticum aestivum (bread wheat). Its description in RNAcentral is "partial small subunit ribosomal RNA". Lineage: Eukaryota; Viridiplantae; Streptophyta; Magnoliopsida; Poales; Poaceae. The record is from RNAcentral.
AUGAACCUGAACGCACAUGAGGUGUUGGAGCAGAGGGAGGUGGCCACAGUGCAGCUAGCUAAUGGGUGGGCACCAAUCCCGGAGUUGGCGGACAUAAUUACUGCGAGUGACUACCGCCCAUUGGAGAUGCCGGUCCCAGGGGAUUUGGACAUGCAGGAGCUGUUGGCUGGUGAUAUGACCACGUCCGAGGCGAUGGUAGGUGGAGGAACAGAGGCGCAUGCAGGUGCGCUGGUGGUGCAUGGCGCACCCACCAAUCAGGAGGCUUCAGAGCGUUUAUAUGCGAAGGAGGUCGUGGCACUUGGGAAUAUUAAAUCUUUCUGCGCCGGUCUACUAAAGAAGCUCGCACCCCCUCUGCUGAAGGAAAUUGAGGGAGCCCGUGCGUGCGUGCAGGACAGGAUCCGUUCAUGCCACGAUGCACCAUGCACUCGGUAG